This 328-nucleotide ribosomal RNA is filed under the name uncultured eukaryote. RNAcentral's name for it is "partial 18S ribosomal RNA". It matches the Rfam family "Eukaryotic small subunit ribosomal RNA", at positions 1469 to 1796 of the family's 1831-position model. The record is from RNAcentral.
ACCCUUAGAUGUUCUGGGCCGCACGCGCGCUACACUGAUGAAUGCAACGAGCUCUACCCUUGACCGAAAGGCCCGGGUAAACUUGUGAAACUUCAUCGUGAUGGGGAUAGAUUAUUGCAAUUAUUAAUCUUCAACGAGGGAUUCCUAGUAAGCGCGAGUCAUCAGCUCGCGUUGAUUACGUCCCUGCCCUUUGUACACACCGCCCGUCGCUCCUACCGAUUGAAUGGUCCGGUGAAAUCUUCGGAUUGCUGACCAAGAUCCAGCAAUGGAGCUUGGUUGCGAGAAGUUGAUUAAACCUUAUUAUUUAGAGGAAGGAGAAGUCGUAACA